UACGAAGGUGACAAGCGUUGUUCGGAAUCAUUGGGCGUAAAGCGCACGUAGGCGGGUUUGAAAGUCGAUUGUGAAAACCCUGGGCUCAACCCGGGACCUGCAGUCGAAACUUCAAGUCUUGAAUACUCGAGAGGAUGGUGGAAUUCCAGGAGUAGAAGUGAAAUUCGUAGAUAUCUGGAGGAACACCGGAGGCGAAAGCGGCCAUCUGGCGAGUUAUUGACGCUAAGGUGCGAAAGCGUGGGGAUCAAACAGG
This 253-nucleotide ribosomal RNA is filed under the name uncultured bacterium. RNAcentral's name for it is "partial 16S ribosomal RNA". It matches the Rfam family "Bacterial small subunit ribosomal RNA", at positions 524 to 776 of the family's 1533-position model. The record is from RNAcentral.